GAAGAAAGCGGGCGGCGUGCUUAACGCAUGCAAGUCGAACGGUAAGGCCCCAGCUUGCUGGGGUACACGAGUGGCGAACGGGUGAGUAACACGUGGGUGACCUGCCCCGCACUUCGGGAUAAGCCUGGGAAACUGGGUCUAAUACCGGAUAGGACCGCACCGUGAGGGUGUGGUGGAAAGUUUUUCGGUGUGGGAUGGGCCCGCGGCCUAUCAGCUUGUUGGUGGGGUAAUGGCCUACCAAGGCGGCGACGGGUAGCCGGCCUGAGAGGGUGGACGGCCACAUUGGGACUGAGACACGGCCCAGACUCCUACGGGAGGCAGCAGUGGGGAAUAUUGCACAAUGGGCGGAAGCCUGAUGCAGCGACGCCGCGUGGGGGAUGACGGCCUUCGGGUUGUAAACUCCUUUCACCAUCGACGAAGGUUUUCUGACGGUAGAUGGAGAAGAAGUACCGGCUAACUACGUG
RNAcentral lists this ribosomal RNA (464 nucleotides) under uncultured bacterium. Its description in RNAcentral is "partial 16S ribosomal RNA". It matches the Rfam family "Bacterial small subunit ribosomal RNA", at positions 31 to 507 of the family's 1533-position model. The record is from RNAcentral.